GGCUCCUUCGUCUAGCGGUCUAGGACAUCACCCUUUCACGGUGGAAACACGGGUUCGAUUCCCGUAGGAGUCA
RNAcentral lists this transfer RNA (73 nucleotides) under Neorickettsia risticii (Potomac horse fever agent). Its description in RNAcentral is "tRNA-Glu". It matches the Rfam family "tRNA". Rfam says of the family: Transfer RNA (tRNA) molecules are approximately 80 nucleotides in length. Their secondary structure includes four short double-helical elements and three loops (D, anti-codon, and T loops). RNAcentral also lists the same sequence under 4 other names. Lineage: Bacteria; Pseudomonadati; Pseudomonadota; Alphaproteobacteria; Rickettsiales; Anaplasmataceae. The record is from RNAcentral.